AACCAACAGUGACUGGUGGUUUGUCAAGAAACAUUUGACUUUGGAGCAAGGUUACGUUCCUGCUAAGCUUCUGGCAGAAGAAACCUCUUACACCCACUAUGUCCACAAAACUAGCAGAAAAGAUCAGCAAGCUCCCUGUGUUUGACAAACUGAAGAAGGGCCAAAAGGCAGAACCACCUACAAUAGUGACGAAAAUCCAGCCAUCAGUAAUAGCUGAUGGAAAAGAAGCUCAGUUUUGUCUGCAAGGUCCAGGGUACUCCACGACCUACUAUUACCUGGUUCAGACAGACUGCUAUUAUUAAGCCAUCUGAUGAGUUCCAGGUGUUCUACUCUGAUGACAACACCGCUACACUGGUCAUAAAGGAAGUAUUCCCUGAGGAUGCUGGUAUGUUCACCUGUGUGGCCAAAAAUGAAUUUGGCUACUCUUCUUGUA
Penaeus monodon (black tiger shrimp) is the source of this 433-nucleotide long non-coding RNA. RefSeq lists it as uncharacterized. The transcript is spliced from 3 exons. The record is from RefSeq and is a predicted model, not a curated record. Lineage: Eukaryota; Metazoa; Arthropoda; Malacostraca; Decapoda; Penaeidae.